UCCGGUUUAGCACCGGCAGUCUUCCCAGAGUCCCCGACAUGACUCGCUGGCAACUGGGAACGGGGGUUGCGCUCGUUGCGGGAUUUAACCCAACAUCUCACGGCACGAGCUGACGACAGCCAUGCAACACCUGUGCUGGCUCCCCGAAGGGUCCCUCACCUUUCGGAUCAGUACCACCAGCAUGUCAAGCCCUGGUAAGGUUCUUCGCGUAGCAUCGAAUUGAGCCACACGCUCCGCUGCUUGUGCGGGCCCCCGUCAAUUCCUUUGAGUUUCAACCUUGCGGUCGUACUCCCCAGGCGGGGUACUUCCUGCGUUAGCGCCGGCACCCAGAGGGUCGCUCCCCCAGGCACCUAGUACCCAUCGUUUACGGCGUGGACUAC
This 380-nucleotide unclassified non-coding RNA is filed under the name uncultured bacterium. RNAcentral describes it as "contains 16S-23S intergenic spacer region". The record is from RNAcentral.